AACGAACGCUGGCGGCAGGCCUAACACAUGCAAGUCGAGCGCGCCCUUCGGGGUGAGCGGCGGACGGGUGAGUAACGCGUGGGAACGUGCCCUUUUCUACGGAAUAGCCUCGGGAAACGGAGAGUAAUACCGUAUACGCCCUUUGGGGGAAAGAUUUAUCGGAAAAGGAUCGGCCCGCGUUGGAUUAGGUAGUUGGUGGGGUAAUGGCCUACCAAGCCGACGAUCCAUAGCUGGGUUGAGAGGAUGAUCAGCCACACUGGGACUGAGACACGGCCCAGACUCCUACGGGAGGCAGCAGUGGGGAAUCUUAGACAAUGGGGGCAACCCUGAUCUAGCCAUGCCGCGUGAGUGAUGAAGGCCUUAGGGUUGUAAAGCUCUUUCAGCUGGGAAGAUAAUGACGGUACCAGCAGAAGAAGCCCCGGCUAACUCCGUG
RNAcentral lists this ribosomal RNA (433 nucleotides) under uncultured bacterium. Its description in RNAcentral is "partial 16S ribosomal RNA". It matches the Rfam family "Bacterial small subunit ribosomal RNA", at positions 29 to 507 of the family's 1533-position model. The record is from RNAcentral.